AUCUCCUUCCAACACCGACCAACAUCAAGCAGAAGCGGGAUUUCUGGACUCCCGAACUCGGAUGGCUUGUGACAUUCUUUCUAUUCCAAUUACAACAGUUGCUUCAGAAGCCACCUUCAGUGCUGGUGGAAGAGUUAUUGAUCAAUAUAGAUCAUCUUUGGGUACAGAUAUAGGGCAACUUCUUAUUUGUGGAAGUGAUUGGUACCGUAAUUUAUAUGGUAUAAAGAGAAAAGUGAAGAUUAGGGAGGAAACAAAAGAGAUCUCAUUGGUUUGAUAAGGAGCAUAAUAUUCUUUUUUUUUU
Dendrobium catenatum is the source of this 301-nucleotide long non-coding RNA. RefSeq lists it as uncharacterized. The transcript has 3 exons. The record is from RefSeq and is a predicted model, not a curated record. NCBI's taxonomy places the organism in Eukaryota, Viridiplantae, Streptophyta, Magnoliopsida, Asparagales, Orchidaceae.